Molecule: long non-coding RNA, 309 nt
Filed under: Trifolium pratense (red clover)
Lineage: Eukaryota; Viridiplantae; Streptophyta; Magnoliopsida; Fabales; Fabaceae
Description: long non-coding RNA (TPRA_LNC009541)
Source: RNAcentral
AAAAAAAGAAGCAAAAAUGGGUUUUCGUUCUUGAACCAAAACUUCUAUCAUCAAUUUCUUCUUGCCAUCAAUCUUGCCAGUUUUUAUGCUUCUUCUUGCUUCUUUCUUUUGAUACCAUGUGAUGAGUUGAUUUGGAAAGAAAUUGUGGAUGGUAGAUCUUGAAGAGUGUAAGAAGUUCAUGGUUGGUCCAGUUGGAAUCAGUGAACAAAGGUGGUGGAGUUUGGAUCUGGAAGUUAGAAUUAAAGGUGGUGGGUGUUAUUGUUAUAUUGUUGUGUAGAAUAGUUUGGAUCUGAAAGUUUUAAAGUUCAU